GGAUUACCUGGUAGUCCAGGGGCCAAAGGUGGACCUGGAGUUCAAGUUCAAAGUUUUGGAUCACCUGGUAGUCCAGGGGCCAAAGGUGGACCUGGAGGUCAGGCCGGCAUGUCUGUUGACCUUUGGGCGAGCCUGGGGUUCCUGGUAUGGAAGGUACUCCUGGUCCCAGGUAAAUACUUUUGUCAAUAACACUGGCUCCAGGUACUCACGGUGUAAU
Long non-coding RNA from Entelurus aequoreus (snake pipefish), 217 nucleotides. RefSeq lists it as uncharacterized. The record is from RefSeq and is a predicted model, not a curated record. NCBI's taxonomy places the organism in Eukaryota, Metazoa, Chordata, Actinopteri, Syngnathiformes, Syngnathidae. The transcript has 3 exons.